AGGACGAACGCUGGCGGCGUGCUUAACACAUGCAAGUCGAGCGGAAAGGCCCUUCGGGGUACUCGAGCGGCGAACGGGUGAGUAACACGUGAGUAAUCUGCCCCUAGCUCUGGGAUAGCUCCGGGAAACCGGGAUUAAUACCGGAUACGACCACCUUAGACAUCUUUGUGGUGGAAAAAAUUUACGGCUAGGGAUGAGCUCGCGGCCUAUCAGCUUGUUGGUGGGGUAACGGCCUACCAAGGCGACGACGGGUAG
Molecule: ribosomal RNA, 255 nt
Filed under: uncultured bacterium
Lineage: Bacteria
Description: partial small subunit ribosomal RNA
Rfam family: Bacterial small subunit ribosomal RNA
Source: RNAcentral